CUUGGUCUUGCAGUUUAUAAAAUGGUGGUCUCAUUUCCUAGGCUUUCGGACAGUCCUUUCUCCAGCCCGACAUCCACCUUUUUAAACAAAAUCUCUUCUACUUGGAGACGCUCAACACCAAGCAGAAGCUGUACCACAAGAAGAUCUUCCGGACUGCCAUGCUGUUCCAGUUUGUGAACGUGCUGCUCCAGGUCCUGGUCCACAAGUCCCAUGAUCUUCUGCAGGAGGAGAUUGGCAUCGCCAUCUACAACAUGGCCUCAGUCGACUUUGAUGGCUUCUUUGCCGCCUUCCUUCCAGAGUUCCUGACCAGCUGUGAUGGUGUGGAUGCCAACCAGAAAAGUGUGCUGGGGCGGAAUUUCAAGAUGGAUCGGGUGAGGAGAGAAAGAGGCCGGGCUAAGAGGAGGGCAGAGUGGGCACGCAAGCCUGGCACCUGUGCAGCAAGGAGGGGGCACAUUGAGGCCUCUGGGCGUGGUCUGUGCCCACCCUGCAGCUUGGCGGCAGCUCACGAGAUGCCUGCUGACCCGGUGCUGUAGCCUGAUUGAGGGGCACAGCCUUUUCC
This 559-nucleotide small RNA is filed under the name Pan troglodytes (chimpanzee). RNAcentral describes it as "retained intron". Lineage: Eukaryota; Metazoa; Chordata; Mammalia; Primates; Hominidae. The record is from RNAcentral.